RNAcentral lists this ribosomal RNA (255 nucleotides) under uncultured prokaryote. Its description in RNAcentral is "partial 16S ribosomal RNA". It matches the Rfam family "Bacterial small subunit ribosomal RNA", at positions 521 to 775 of the family's 1533-position model. The record is from RNAcentral.
UAAUACAGAGGGUGCAAGCGUUAAUCGGAUUUACUGGGCGUAAAGCGCGCGUAGGUGGCUAAUUAAGUCAAAUGUGAAAUCCCCGAGCUUAACUUGGGAAUUGCAUUCGAUACUGGUUAGCUAGAGUAUGGGAGAGGAUGGUAGAAUUCCAGGUGUAGCGGUGAAAUGCGUAGAGAUCUGGAGGAAUACCGAUGGCGAAGGCAGCCAUCUGGCCUAAUACUGACACUGAGGUGCGAAAGCAUGGGGAGCAAACAG